RNAcentral lists this RNase P RNA (383 nucleotides) under Klebsiella variicola. Its description in RNAcentral is "RNase P RNA component class A". It matches the Rfam family "Bacterial RNase P class A". From Rfam's summary of the family: Ribonuclease P (RNase P) is a ubiquitous endoribonuclease, found in archaea, bacteria and eukarya as well as chloroplasts and mitochondria. The record is from RNAcentral. Lineage: Bacteria; Pseudomonadati; Pseudomonadota; Gammaproteobacteria; Enterobacterales; Enterobacteriaceae.
GAAGCUGACCAGACAGUCGCCGCUUCGUCGUCGUCCUCCUUCGGGGGAGACGGGCGGAGGGGAGGAAAGUCCGGGCUCCAUAGGGCAAGGUGCCAGGUAACGCCUGGGGGGUGUCACAGCCCACGACCAGUGCAACAGAGAGCAAACCGCCGAUGGCCCGCGCAAGCGUGGAUCAGGUAAGGGUGAAAGGGUGCGGUAAGAGCGCACCGCGCGGCUGGUAACAGUCCGCGGCACGGUAAACUCCACCCGGAGCAAGGCCAAAUAGGGGUUCAUAAGGUACGGCCCGUACUGAACCCGGGUAGGCUGCUUGAGCCAGUGAGCGAUUGCUGGCCUAGAUGAAUGACUGUCCACGACAGAACCCGGCUUAUCGGUCAGUUUCACCU